This 149-nucleotide ribosomal RNA is filed under the name Tricholoma scalpturatum. Its description in RNAcentral is "5.8S ribosomal RNA". It matches the Rfam family "5.8S ribosomal RNA". Rfam says of the family: 5.8S ribosomal RNA (5.8S rRNA) is a component of the large subunit of the eukaryotic ribosome. Lineage: Eukaryota; Fungi; Basidiomycota; Agaricomycetes; Agaricales; Tricholomataceae. The record is from RNAcentral. RNAcentral also lists the same sequence under 1 other name.
UCAACAACGGAUCUCUUGGCUCUCGCAUCGAUGAAGAACGCAGCGAAAUGCGAUAAGUAAUGUGAAUUGCAGAAUUCAGUGAAUCAUCGAAUCUUUGAACGCACCUUGCGCUCCUUGGUAUUCCGAGGAGCAUGCCUGUUUGAGUGUCA